ACACUGAAGUAAAAAUAAUUUACAUUUAGUUUCGACCUAAAUUUAGGAAAACUCCUUGUG
This 60-nucleotide transfer RNA is filed under the name Cofana yasumatsui. RNAcentral's name for it is "tRNA-Arg". The record is from RNAcentral. Lineage: Eukaryota; Metazoa; Arthropoda; Insecta; Hemiptera; Cicadellidae.